GUACUCACUUUGGCAGCACAUAUAUAAAAAUCAGAAUGAUACAGAAAAGAUUGGCGUGACCGCUAUGCAAGAAUAACACAUAAAUUCAUAAAGCAUUAAAAAAAAUU
Molecule: non-coding RNA, 107 nt
Organism: Canis lupus familiaris (dog)
Lineage: Eukaryota; Metazoa; Chordata; Mammalia; Carnivora; Canidae
Source: Rfam